RNAcentral lists this long non-coding RNA (691 nucleotides) under Olea europaea subsp. europaea. Lineage: Eukaryota; Viridiplantae; Streptophyta; Magnoliopsida; Lamiales; Oleaceae. The record is from RNAcentral.
GUAGAAUUCUAUCUACAGCUUAACCAACUUAGUUUUGGAGUUUAAUUCCUUGAAGAAACUGUGUGCUAUUUCAUUAUUUUCCGACUCUUUUUUUGCAGAUCAGCCUUUCGAAAUGUGGAGUACUCCCAGUGCCUGCAGCAGUUGCAUGGACUGGAAGGAAACCCCAGAAGCCCAUAUCUUAAAAUUUGAUCUUCCGGUGUUGCAAAAGAAGAUGUAAAACUCCAGCUGGUUCACGAUGAUUGAGUGCUCCACAUGACUGCUGAAAGAAGAGACGAGAAUUAUGGUGAAAAGGGGGAUUUUAAAUGCCAUUGUAAAGAGCGGAUUGAUGCCAUGGGUAUUUCAAUAGAGAGUUUAGAUUACCAGAAAAUUCAGUUGUUGAUCAAAUAAAUAAAGGCUUCCUUGCGAGAUGGAGUGCUCGUUGUAACAGUGCCUAGAGAUCAGCACAAUAAAAGGAACAAGCCCGUGGAAAUUGCCGGUGAAGGAGAAAAUGCUGGAUCUGGCACAGGAACUGGGCGUUUUGUUUGCUGCAAAGCUUGAUUUGAUUUUGGAUUAUAUGUUCAACAAAUCAGGGUCCCCAAAUUUGUUUGAGUUUUUGAAAUGCUUUGUGCAAUUAAUUGUAGUGUUUUAAUCGCGUAAAUAAAUUUGUCACAAUGAAAGACAAUUGGGUUUGUGAGGGGGUCGGAUGGAUGGG